AUCCUCACUUAUUAUGUUGUAACAAGCUAACAGCGUGUUCAGACAUGAGUUAGUGUGUACUGAAUGUCACAUACGCCAUACUCCUGUACUUACUUACAGACAUUAUAGCCAAACAUCCAUGAGCAGUUUGUUUUGUUUACAUUCUGCUGCUAACGUUGCUAAGGCUGAUCAAUGUUGUUUACCACUAUAAGAUAGCAUACUGAGAAUACAAGCAGUGUGGUUGUUCUAACUAAUUCAUUUCAUUACAUCUUUGUUUGUGUCACUGUGUGUGAUUUAAAGUGGAAUUCUUGCCUGAUAUGAAAUGAGCGCUGCAGAUUCGAGCGUUCCGGAGGGUUUCAUCGGUCCAGAGCGUCCGUUUAAUGGCUAGCAACCACAAACGUCUGCGGUUAGCAUCAAAGGGCGUCCUCGACGACGGUAUUCUAUAAAAAUGGAGGAGAUGAUGUUUUCCAUGUCUAUUCUUACAUCCAGGUGCACAACACGACAUUUUACUGUUUAGCACAGAGAUCUUGCUAGUUCACACAAGUUGAUUGCAUCGCUGCUUCUUCUUCUUCGUCGUCGUCGUUUUGUUUUUCUUCUUCUACGUUUUAAUGGAGACUUGUGUCUAGGUGGCGCAGUAUCGCCGCCAACUGUCGUGUGAUACUGUUCUUAAAUCGUUAUUAGUGGAGUACUUUGCAGAUAUGUUAAGACUUGCUAAAACAACUUUGAGUUUUUGUUUAGAUUGUUUUAAGGUCCGUGUGUUCAACGGUGUAAUCCCUUUACCUUUACCUUUACCUUUACCUUCUUCUUCUUCUUCUUCUUCUUCUUCUUCAUCUUCUUCAUCUUCUUCGUGUUAAUAGCGACGUGUGACCAAGUUGAGCGCUAUCGCCACCAACUGUCGUGUGCCAUUGUUCUUAAAUUUCUUUUUUUAGUCCUGCUGUCAGUCCAGUGUUUUGUAGGCAGGUGAAGACAUGUUUAAAACCAAGUCUCCAGCGCUGUUUGUUAAAAUAGUUUUAAGUUACAACUGCUCAGCUAUAAAACACUGGAUCGAAGCGCAGCCAACAGAGGGGGCCAACAUGAUGCCUGGUGACAUGAAAAGACCUUCAGCAGCUCAAAGUCUCAACAGCCCUGCGGUCUUCAGACGUGGUACAUCCCAGAAAACGCUCAAAUCAAAAAAAUGAUCCUAACCUUGUUUUGCGGUUAAAAGAAAAAAGAAACUUUGAUCCAAUACUUCACACAUUUCCUUGUGUCACACAGGAUAAAGUACAAUUUGUGAUAUUCCGUACAUGGAGAGCCCAGAACAAAACACUUUCAUCAUUAUUUUUAAAAAACUUUUCAAGAUGCCUUCAUAUAAACAGCAUAAAAUCGUACGUUUACCAAUACAGUAGGUAUGACGUUACCACACACAACCCUGCUGGUUUACACUGUAAUAAAUAGAAAUGAUGAUGAUUGUACAACCACACGACACAUUUAGCAACAGAUCAGCCUACUUCUACUUAUUUUCAUACUGUGAAUGAACAUCAUGAUGUAGUCGUUCUCACAACAGUCAUGUUAGCACUUUUUUUUAGAAAGUCAAUGUGCUGUUCUACUUGUGGGGAAUAAACUGAUUUAGAUACUUUAGUCCAGAUCUUCGCUCUGUGCAUCCUAAUGUUUAAAGAUAUUUUUUAAUUUGUACUAAACUGGAACCCUAGGCUAUAAAAAAAAGGUAAACAGGUCAAAGGAAAACAAAACCACAAGGGGUAAUCUGCCCUUAAAACGCAGCUGAUACAGUUGGUAGAAAAAGAAAAGAAAGAGCAUGCGUGACUGGAGCAAAAACUGGCAACACCUCAAUCGUUCAUGUAUAGAAAAUGCCAGGUACUAGCUUACAUGCACAACAAAACGCUUUCCGCUUGUAACUCUGAUUACUCGACAGGCCACGUUCAUAAAUAUGUACAUCCAGAGUUCAAAAAGCGAGGUCAAAUAAACCGUUUCUCUUACAUCAGACGGGCUUGAAUUUUUUAACUGAGGGGCGUCUGUUUUUAUGACGAGUGGAUCAGAAAUAACAAAAGGUGAACAUCAAAAGUAUUUCCAUAUCAUCAGAUUACAAUCAAGAGGAGACUAACAUUCAGUUUUUUCAGUUUCGAUUUUAAAGGGUUGGAGAACGAAUAAAGUAAGAAUCAUCGUUUUUAAGGACCGUUCUUCAAAAGACGUGGGAUCAUCAGGAGAUCAGGAACUUUCAGGAAGAAAAACAAUAUAUGUUGAGGUUUUCUGAGCACACGUACCAAAAAAUGUUAGUUUUUUUUUUUUUUACUGGAAUACUCAGCUGUUGUGAGUCCCUUACGUGGACACCAACAGCUUUUUUUUUUUUUUUUUAAAGUGCACCAGUACCAAAUAAGUAAGCUCAAGUACCAUCAGCUGAUCAUGUACCUGCACCGCAUCCAGCUGAGCAGAAAACCCACAACAGUCCCAAAGAACAGUUUGCUGAUGCAGAAUUAAACUGUGCAAACACACACACACACACACACACACACGCACACACACACACAAAAUGCUCCCUAGUCCGAGCCCUUUAAUUCAGGAAGCCUUGAAUUGUUCAUCUCCCUCCCCCGUAAUUCUUUGCAACAGCACUGUCGUUAACUGC
RNAcentral lists this long non-coding RNA (2596 nucleotides) under Sparus aurata (gilthead seabream). Its description in RNAcentral is "lncRNA (ENSSAUG00010001566.1)". The record is from RNAcentral. Lineage: Eukaryota; Metazoa; Chordata; Actinopteri; Spariformes; Sparidae.